This 433-nucleotide ribosomal RNA is filed under the name uncultured bacterium. RNAcentral describes it as "partial 16S ribosomal RNA". It matches the Rfam family "Bacterial small subunit ribosomal RNA", at positions 38 to 507 of the family's 1533-position model. The record is from RNAcentral.
GGGGGGGGCUGGGGGGGGGGCGGAGGGGGGCGGGGUGAGGGGGGGCGUCGGGUCUGGGGGCGGACGGGGGCGUAAGGGGUGGGGUGCUGCGGGGAGGGUCGGAAGAACUCCACGAGAUGGGUGCUAAUGCCGGAGGAUUGCGUCUGCGCACAGUUGUAUCGACUUUUGAUGGGCCCGCGUUGCAUUAGCUGGGUGGUAGGGUAAGAGCCUAGCAAGGAGAAGAUCCAUAGCUGGUCUGAGAGGAUGAUCAGGUACAGGGGGAAUGAGACACGGCCCAGACUCAUACGGGAGGAAGAAGUGGGGAAUAGUGGACAAUGGGCGAAAGCCUGAUCCAGCAAUGCCGCGGGAGUGAUGAAGGCAUUAGGGUUGUAAAGCUCUUUUAACCGGGAGGAUAAUGACAUUACCGGGAGAAUACGCGCCGGCUAAUUCCGUG